CGCAGCUCGCUCACAGGACUUUGCUCUUAACCUCUUCGCUACAGAGUCGGAAAGACCCAACCUUUUAACUGUGAAGCAGAGCCAUUUGAACCGGAGCAGAGGUGCUACAAUGCCAGGACCCUUGUUCCGAGACCCGUCCUGCACCUCCCUUCCAACUACCUGGAUCACCUAUCUGCCUUCCCAUUAUUGACCUUCCCCUGCAUUGACUCCCCGCUCUGUUAACUGAACCCUGCCUGACCAUUCUUGCCUCCCGGAUUUCGUACCUCUGCUACCCACUUUUUUUUCAUAGUUACCUACAUUUUAGGAAAAGGAAAUGACCUCUUCAGGGUUUUCGCCGGGCCCUCUUAGACAGCUGGAGGGUAAAAGAAUACCUUCAAUAACACAAUCAAAUCAAAGUGGAC
Molecule: long non-coding RNA, 401 nt
Organism: Esox lucius (northern pike)
Lineage: Eukaryota; Metazoa; Chordata; Actinopteri; Esociformes; Esocidae
Source: Ensembl